GGGGGCGAUCGGUUUCGACGAGGCAAUUGAAGUGACUGAGGGCAUACCGAGGGUUCUGGUGACCUCGUAAAUCCGACCGGAAAGAAAAAACAUCCUGAAAACGGAUACGCUCUAGCUGCAUAAUAAUGCGGCUACGCCGCCCCGGAUGGCCAGCCCAGUUUGGGGAUCGGUGUCAUAUAGGGCUGAAACCGAUCAAUUCCUGCCUUUGGGUUUGAUCGGUCAUUUGAAAAGGCUAUCUCUUGCACACCUGUCUCUUGGUAAAGCGAGAGGAGAUUCAUAGAGAGACUAAGUAUGUAGGCCUCUACAUGGAAGUGUCUCGGACGCGGGUUCAAUUCCCGCCGCCUCCAUCA
This 350-nucleotide transfer-messenger RNA is filed under the name bacterium. Its description in RNAcentral is "SM23-42 sp020343595 Standard tmRNA". It matches the Rfam family "transfer-messenger RNA". From Rfam's summary of the family: Bacterial tmRNA, also known as 10Sa RNA or SsrA, is named for its dual tRNA and mRNA-like properties. Its role is to liberate the mRNA from a stalled ribosome. RNAcentral also lists the same sequence under 1 other name. The record is from RNAcentral.